This 197-nucleotide non-coding RNA is filed under the name Granulicatella elegans. RNAcentral describes it as "T-box sequence". It matches the Rfam family "T-box leader". From Rfam's summary of the family: Uncharged tRNA acts as the effector for transcription antitermination of genes in the T-box leader family. T-boxes are found upstream of many aminoacyl-tRNA synthetase genes and some amino acid biosynthetic genes usually in Gram-positive bacteria. Lineage: Bacteria; Bacillati; Bacillota; Bacilli; Lactobacillales; Carnobacteriaceae. The record is from RNAcentral.
UCGAGAGCAAUGAUCAAGCGCAGUAGAGACUAGCAUCGGAGCAAAAAGAGAAUUGUCGGUAGGUGCAAGACAAUCCAACCUAGAAUCGAAGUACACUUGAGAGCAAACUGUGACAAACAGCGUCUAUCCGCGAUAAGGAUUUGAGAGGUAGUUUUUAACUACAAUAUGGGUGGUAACACGGCAAAGUCGUCCCUAAU